AUUGAACGCUGGCGGCAUGCUUUACACAUGCAAGUCGAACGGCAGCGCGGGCUUCGGCCUGGCGGCGAGUGGCGAACGGGUGAGUAAUACAUCGGAACGUGCCCCGUAGUGGGGGAUAGCUCGGCGAAAGCCGGAUUAAUACCGCAUACGACCUGAGGGUGAAAGCGGGGGAGCUUCGGACCUCGCGCUCUUGGAGGGGCCGACGGAGGGUUAGCUAGUUGGUGGGGUAAGGACCUACCAAGGCGACGAUCUGUAGCUGGUCUGAGAGGACGACCAGCCACACUGGGACGGAGACACGGACAAGAGUACUACGGGAGGGAGCAGUGGGGAAUUUUGGACAAUGGGGGAAAGCCUGAUACAGCAAUGGCGCGUGUGUGAUGAAGGCCUUCGGGUUGUAAAGCACUUUUGGCGGGAACGAAAAGGACUGUGCCAAUACUACGGUUCGAUGACGGUACCCGCAGAAUAAGCACCGGCUAACUACGUG
This 484-nucleotide ribosomal RNA is filed under the name uncultured bacterium. RNAcentral describes it as "partial 16S ribosomal RNA". It matches the Rfam family "Bacterial small subunit ribosomal RNA", at positions 29 to 507 of the family's 1533-position model. The record is from RNAcentral.